AAUCUUCCACAAUGGACGAAAGUCUGAUGCAGCAACGCCGCGUGAGUGAAGAAGGUUNNNGGAUCNUCAAACUCUGUCAUUGGNGACNAAUAAAUGACGGUACCCAAUGAGGAAGCCCCGGCUAACUACGUGCCAGCAGCCGCGGUAAUACGUAGGGGGCGAGCGUUGUCCGGAAUUACUGGGCGUAAAGGGUACGUAGGCGGCUAUAUAAGUCAGGUGUGAAAUACCAGUGCUUAACACUGGAAUUGCAUUUGAAACUGUGUAGCUUGAGUGCAGGAGAGGAAAGUGGAAUUCCUAGUGUAGCGGUGAAAUGCGUAGAGAUUAGGAGGAACACCAGUGGCGAAGGCGACUUUCUGGACUGUAACUGACGCUGAGGUGCGAAAGCGUGGGGAGCAAACA
RNAcentral lists this ribosomal RNA (399 nucleotides) under uncultured bacterium. RNAcentral's name for it is "partial 16S ribosomal RNA". It matches the Rfam family "Bacterial small subunit ribosomal RNA", at positions 360 to 774 of the family's 1533-position model. The record is from RNAcentral.